CCCAAGAUUUUAGUUGUUGCUCCCAAGUUAAGGGGGGGGGGAUUAGCUUAAACAGGGGAACAGAUGCAACCCCUUAAGACAAGGACAAUUAACCCUUAAAGCCCAGGAGUGCCUACAAGAUCACCUUUAAAUUUAAGAGUUAGCCUUCACUUUUUACACACAGCCCCCCCCCCCUUAGCCUCCCUUUAAAAAAAGUGUCAAAGCAAGGUUUACUAAUUCACAUGUACAUAAACACACAAGUCCCAAACAAAUGACACACACACACUAGGAUGGGCUGUGUGUAGGGGAACUUCAGCUCUUGGGGUGUUAAAACAAACAAGGACAAACUAAACACAUUGGCACAACUAUGACUUUCACUGCCUAGUAGCCUCAAAUGAUUUUGGCAGCUGUCACUUUUGUUUAAAAUAAAUGUAAUAUAUAUAAAAAAAAAAAAGUUACAUGUAAACAUAUUUGGGGGAUAAAUAAAAUAAGGGGCCCUGCUAGAGGAGAGGCGGUGUAUUUUAAAAUACUAAGAGGAGGUGAGGGGUAUAGGUGGUGUAGUUUAGGAUACUAGGUGUAGGUAAAAGGUAUGGGUGAUUAUUUAAGAAUACUAAGAGAAUACUAAGAGUAUAUGAGAGGUAUAGGUGGUGCAUUUUAUUUAUUUUUGUAAACUAAGAGGUGAAAGGUAUAGGUAGUUAUUUUAAAAUACUAAGAGGAGGUAAGAGGUAUAGGUGGUGUAUUUUACAAAAUCUAAGAAGAAGUGGAAGGUAUAGGUGGUGUAUUUUUCAAAUUCUAAUAGAAGGUGGGAUGUAUAGGUGAAGUAUUUUAGAAAACAGAAAAGAUAUUAGAGGUAUAGGUGGUGUAUAGGUGGUGUAUUUUAGAAAACACAGAGAAGAUAUUAGAGGUAUGGGUGGUGUAUUUUAGAAAACACAGAGAAGAUAUUAGAGGUAUAGGUGGUGUAUUUUAGAAAACACAGAGAAGAUAUUAGAGGUAUAGGUGGUGUAUUUUAGAAAACACAGAGAAGAUAUUAGAGGUAUAGGUGGUGUAUUUUAGAAAACACAGAAAAGAUAUUAGAGGUAUAGGUGGUGUAAUUUAGAAAACUAACAGGAGGUAAGGGUGCAUUUUAGGCUUUUUUCUAUGCAGUGAAUGUCAUUUUUAAUGCAAUGGAUCAAGAAAAACAAAUGUACACUAGCAGCAAACAUUCAAGAAAAGUGUCAAAAAAAUAAAAAAUAAUAUUAAAUAAUAAUAAAAAAAAUGUAACCUAAGGUUUCAGGUGGAUAUUUCAAAAUAAGCUUUUUUUUCUGUUUUUUUAAACUGCCAUCUAAAUUCCAAAGUCGACUUUCACUUCUGUUUAUCAAGAGGUGUUAGGUAAUACACCAAAAAUUACAGUACAUUAAAUUAAAUUUACAGAAAUGAAACUUGCUAAAUGUGCAGAACUAUUUGCUUUGGGUAAGGGCUUUUAUUUUUAGUUUUUUGGGUAAGAAGAAAAAAA
Molecule: long non-coding RNA, 1471 nt
Organism: Rana temporaria (common frog)
Lineage: Eukaryota; Metazoa; Chordata; Amphibia; Anura; Ranidae
Exons: 2
Source: RefSeq, a predicted model, not a curated record